UGUAGCACCGAUAUACAGUGUUACGAGUUAGAUCGAGUCGUUGGUAGUUAGUAUCUUAUUAUUGUUGUGGUUGUGGUUGUUGAUUGAUUUGUUUGCAGGUUCUGACAUUAAUUCCUAAGUCUGGUUUAGGUACCUGAUUAGGCUUGGUGUGUAUUGGUUAUUGUAGGCUUGACGUUGGCCUGUAUGUGUUUGAGUGAUUGCUUGUGAAGGGAGGUUGAUAUUAAAGCUAUGUGGUAUCAUUGGUUGGCCGAUCAUGUUCUUGUUUGAUUGUUGGUC
RNAcentral lists this long non-coding RNA (276 nucleotides) under Brassica napus (rape). RNAcentral describes it as "long non-coding RNA (BNAP_LNC017408)". Lineage: Eukaryota; Viridiplantae; Streptophyta; Magnoliopsida; Brassicales; Brassicaceae. The record is from RNAcentral.